AAAAUUCCGUCGACUUAAAAAAUUUGGUUCAAGUUCCCUCUAUCCCCA
Molecule: transfer RNA, 48 nt
Filed under: Lachnaea globulifera subsp. incana
Lineage: Eukaryota; Viridiplantae; Streptophyta; Magnoliopsida; Malvales; Thymelaeaceae
Description: partial transfer RNA-Leu (UAA)
Source: RNAcentral